Juglans regia (Persian walnut) is the source of this 763-nucleotide long non-coding RNA. RefSeq lists it as uncharacterized. Lineage: Eukaryota; Viridiplantae; Streptophyta; Magnoliopsida; Fagales; Juglandaceae. The record is from RefSeq and is a predicted model, not a curated record. The transcript is spliced from 3 exons.
GUGAAAUCAAAACAAUUGGUAAAAAAGCACAGUUUUGAACAACCGAAGGGGACGAGCCCCUCUUCUUCUCUGGUUCGAUGCUUCUCUCCUCUGGUUGGAGCCCGUAGCUCUCUUCUUCAUUUGCUCUGAAGCACAUGCAGUCUGCUUCUCUUCAAGCCGUCAAAAGCUCCCAUUUCAACCCGCUUCUUCAUUAGGAUGUCAUCGUUAGCUUCUUCAUGGACUUCGGCGAACAACCCAAUGUGUACAUGUGGGAAGCCCGCAAAACUUAGAACAUCGAAUACGCCAAGAAAUCCGGGCUGAUCAUUUUUUGGGUGUCCAAACUACAAUACAGAGAGAUCACCAUACUGCAACUAUUUCAAAUGGGCAAAUCGCAGUGAGGAAAGAGAAAAAGAUCUUAUGAAGAUAGAAAUUGAGUUGUUAAGGAAUAAAGAAGAGCUUCGAAUAAGAGAUGAAGAGAUUGUAAAGUAUAAGUUGGGAAUCCACAACGACUAAUUUGAUAUUCAAAGGCAACAAGCAGAGAUCCAGCGUGAACGCACACUACUUAGAAUCUCUUGGAUUAUUUUUGUAUUAAUUUCAUUGUAUUGCAUCUGUAAACAAUGAAACCAUAUUACUUGAGGGAAAUUUGUAUAUACUUUUGUGGCUUUUGUUGUGUAUAACCUUAAGCAACUAGUUGAGAAAUUGAGUUAUGAAUGAUGCAUGCACAUCAAUAGUCUUGUAUAUAAUUUCAAUGUAUGAAGCUGGAAAUGUGAUCUUUAUGAGACAA